RNAcentral lists this ribosomal RNA (504 nucleotides) under uncultured bacterium. RNAcentral describes it as "bacterial SSU rRNA". It matches the Rfam family "Bacterial small subunit ribosomal RNA", at positions 28 to 520 of the family's 1533-position model. The record is from RNAcentral.
GAUGAACGCUAGCGACAGGCCUAACACAUGCAAGUCGAGGGCAGCGGGGAGGUAGCAAUACCUUUGCCGGCGACCGGCGCACGGGUGAGUAACACGUAUGCAAUCCACCUGUAACAGGGGGAUAACCCGGAGAAAUCCGGACUAAUACCCCAUAAUAUGGGCGCUCCGCAUGGAGAGUCCAUUAAAGAGAGCAAUCUUGGUUACAGACGAGCAUGCGCUCCAUUAGCCAGUUGGCGGGGUAACGGCCCACCAAGGCGACGAUGGAUAGGGGUUCUGAGAGGAAGGUCCCCCACAUUGGAACUGAGACACGGUCCAAACUCCUACGGGAGGCAGCAGUGAGGAAUAUUGGUCAAUGGGCGCGAGCCUGAACCAGCCAAGUAGCGUGGAGGACGACGGCCCUACGGGUUGUAAACUCCUUUUAUAAGGGGGAUAAAGUUGGCCAUGUAUGGCCAUUUGCAGGUACCUAUGAAUAAGCAUCGGCUAAUUCCGUGCCAGCAGCCGCGG